AGAGUUUGAUCCUGGCUCAGAUUGAACGCUGGCGGAAUGCUUUACACAUGCAAGUCGAGCGGCAGCGCGGGGGCAACCCUGGCGGCGAGCGGCGAACGGGUGAGUAACACAUCGGAACGUACCCUAUCGUGGGGGAUAACGAAUCGAAAGAUUCGCUAAUACCGCAUACGACCUGAGGGUGAAAGCGGGGGAUCGCAAGACCUCGCGCGAUUGGAGCGGCCGAUGCCGGAUUAGCUAGUUGGUGGGGUAAAGGCUCACCAAGGCGACGAUCCGUAGCUGGUCUGAGAGGACGACCAGCCACACUGGAACUGAGACACGGUCCAGACUCCUACGGGAGGCAGCAGUGAGGAAUAUUGCGCAAUGGAGGAAACUCUGACGCAGCGACGCCGCGUGAAGGAUGAAGGCCCUCUGGGUUGUAAACUUCUGUAGAGUGGGAAGAAUUUUCGCCUCCGGCGAAUUGACGGUACCACUAAAGUAAGGGUCGGCUAACUACGUGCCAGCAGCCGCGGUAAUACGUAGGACCCGAGCGUUGUCCGGAAUCACUGGGUGUAAAGGGAGCGCAGGCGGACUUUCAAGUCGAUGGUGAAAUCUUACGGCUCAACCGUAAAACUGCCGUCGAUACUGCUUGUCUUGAGUGUGGAAGAGGGUGGCAGAAUUCAUGGUGUAGCGGUGAAAUGCGUAGAUAUCAUGAAGAAUACCAGUCGCGAAGGCGGCCACCUGGUCCAUUACUGACGCUCAUGCUCGAAAGCGUGGGGAGCAAACAGGAUUAGAUACCCUGGUAGUCCACGCCCUAAACGAUGAAUACUCGGUGUUGGGUCGCAAGACUCAGCGCCUAAGCAAACGCAUUAAGUAUUCCACCUGGGAAGUACGAUCGCAAGGUUGAAACUCAAAGGAAUUGACGGGGGCCCGCACAAGCAGUGGAGCAUGUGGUUUUAAUUCGACGCAACGCGAAGAACUUUACCUUGGCUUGAAAGGCAAGAUUUUAGUCCUUUGAAAGAGGAUUACCCCGCCAGGGGUCCUUGUACAGUUGCUGCAUGGCUUGUCGUCAGCUCCGUGCCCUUGGAGGUGUUAGGUUAAGUCCUGCAAACGAGCGCAACCCCCUAACACCUUAGUUGCCAUUCAAGUUAAAUGCUUGGCAACCUCUAAGGUGAACUUGCUAUACGCAAGGUUAGCCGAAGGAAAGGUGGGGGAAUGGACCUUCAAGUUCCUCUAUGUCCUUUUACGCCCCAAGGCCCACACACAACGUGUUCUAUACAAAGUGUGUCCCACUAUAC
Molecule: ribosomal RNA, 1274 nt
Filed under: denitrifying bacterium enrichment culture clone NOA_1_F10
Lineage: Bacteria
Description: partial 16S ribosomal RNA
Rfam family: Bacterial small subunit ribosomal RNA
Source: RNAcentral